GGCCUUGACAUGCAGAGAACUUUCCAGAGAUGGAUUGGUGCCUUCGGGAACUCUGACACAGGUGCUGCAUGGCUGUCGUCAGCUCGUGUUGUGAAAUGUA
This 100-nucleotide ribosomal RNA is filed under the name Pseudomonas sp. SA01. Its description in RNAcentral is "partial 16S ribosomal RNA". It matches the Rfam family "Bacterial small subunit ribosomal RNA", at positions 977 to 1076 of the family's 1533-position model. The record is from RNAcentral. Lineage: Bacteria; Pseudomonadati; Pseudomonadota; Gammaproteobacteria; Pseudomonadales; Pseudomonadaceae.